Molecule: ribosomal RNA, 235 nt
Filed under: uncultured bacterium
Lineage: Bacteria
Description: partial 16S ribosomal RNA
Rfam family: Bacterial small subunit ribosomal RNA
Source: RNAcentral
CACGCCGUAAACGAUGAGAACUAAGUAUUGCUGUGAAGCAGUGCUGAAGCUAACGCAUUAAGUUCUCCGCCUGGGGAGUACGGUCGCAAGACUGAAACUUAAAGGAAUUGACGGGGCCCCGCACAAGCAGUGGAGCAUGUGGUUUAAUUCGACGCUACGCGAAGAACCUUACCAGGAUUUGACAUGGAAUUAAAGACCCUAGAGAUAGGGGGAUAGUCAUAAUUCACACAGGUGG